Molecule: ribosomal RNA, 77 nt
Filed under: Nannochloropsis oceanica
Lineage: Eukaryota; Eustigmatophyceae; Eustigmatales; Monodopsidaceae
Also listed under: 2 other names
Description: partial 28S ribosomal RNA
Rfam family: Eukaryotic large subunit ribosomal RNA
Source: RNAcentral
UUCGGACCUCCAAUCAAGCAAGGCUACCCGCUGAAUUUAAGCAUAUAACUAAGCGGAGGAAAAGAAACUAACCAGGA